Molecule: long non-coding RNA, 711 nt
Organism: Schistocerca gregaria
Lineage: Eukaryota; Metazoa; Arthropoda; Insecta; Orthoptera; Acrididae
Exons: 4
Source: RefSeq, a predicted model, not a curated record
AUAAGGGUACGUUCUGUACGCUUGUAACGAUUACACGAGUUAUUUAUGUUGUGCUCAGUACUAAAUAGUGCGGAAAUCAUAUCUUUUCCGGUGUAACAUCAAGCGCCGGCACGUCAGUCUGGAACGGAACAACCGAGAAGUCUGUGAGACAACGUCAGCCAAUAGUACGCUGACUAGGACCGCACCAAGAAGGAAGAGAAUAUAAGCGCCACUCCGCACUAGAAGAGCAGCAUUUGAAGACAGGCACUAACAGAGCCGCACUAGAAGACGAGAUGUCAUCGUAACUGUUUAGCUGAGACUUGUGAUCUAUAUCAAUUGCUUGCAUGGAAAUGCUAUCCGAGAUAACACCUUCCAAGGCACCUUAUAUUACACAUGUGGGUAGGAUCCCAUAUUGGCAAUGAGUUAUGAGAAGAACACAGUGCCUGGCAGCCAUGGAAUUCUCUUUUGUCUUUUUCUGGCGCCUUAAAUCUCCCUUGUCUCUUCUUUGCAGUUUCAGACUCGACAAGUUGCUAUAUUACCUUUUCGCCAGUCUUAUGAACAAGAAUAUGAGGGCCUCGAGAGGUUGCAGCAGUUUGACGCCCACACACUUGCUCACAUCAUACCAGAUUCACCAAUCCUGAGGACAGCGCAGCCAGAGCAUCCACCAUAGGGUGUCAACACGGGAUGAACCCUUUAGACAGAGCCUCCUCCACCUCCUCUCGUCCUACUGAU